GGUCAGUGGUGGGCAGCCUCAGGGUGGCUCUGCCUGAGGGCCCAGCCGGCCCCGCUCCCGUCCUCUGCUGCAGCUCCUCCGGAGCAACUGCAGCCUCGGUGAUAGCACCUGGAAAAGGGGCACAUCUUGCCAAGGCGGCCCUGCUGGCUGUGGGGACAGAGGUUUCUACUUGUCCUGCCUCCAUCCCAUUUCCCGU
Molecule: long non-coding RNA, 196 nt
Organism: Homo sapiens (human)
Lineage: Eukaryota; Metazoa; Chordata; Mammalia; Primates; Hominidae
Source: Ensembl